Molecule: ribosomal RNA, 347 nt
Filed under: uncultured bacterium
Lineage: Bacteria
Description: partial 16S ribosomal RNA
Rfam family: Bacterial small subunit ribosomal RNA
Source: RNAcentral
CCUACGGGAGGCAGCAGUGGGGAAUAUUGGGCAAUGGGCGCAAGCCUGACCCAGCAACGCCGCGUGAAGGAAGAAGGCUCUCGGGUUGUAAACUUCUUUUGUCAGGGACGAAGCAAGUGACGGUACCUGACGAAUAAGCCACGGCUAACUACGUGCCAGCAGCCGCGGUAAUACGUAGGCGGCAAGCGUUAUCCGGAUUUACUGGGUGUAAAGGGCGUGUAGGCGGGACUGCAAGUCAGAUGGGAAAACCACAGGCUCAACCUGUGGCCUGCAUUUGAAACUGUAGUGCUUGAGUGCUGGAGAGGCAGGCGGAAUGCCUGGUGUAGCGGUGAAAUGCGUAGAUAUUA